Molecule: ribosomal RNA, 385 nt
Filed under: uncultured bacterium
Lineage: Bacteria
Description: bacterial SSU rRNA
Rfam family: Bacterial small subunit ribosomal RNA
Source: RNAcentral
AAUGGGGGAAACCCUGAUGCAGCAACGCCGCGUGAGUGAUGAAGGUUUUCGGAUCGUAAAGCUCUGUCUUUGGGGAAGAUAAUGACGGUACCCAAGGAGGAAGCCACGGCUAACUACGUGCCAGCAGCCGCGGUAAUACGUAGGUGGCGAGCGUUAUCCGGAUUUACUGGGCGUAAAGGGAGCGUAGGCGGAUGAUUAAGUGGGAUGUGAAAUACCCGGGCUCAACUUGGGUGCUGCAUUCCAAACUGGUUAUCUAGAGUGCAGGAGAGGAGAGUGGAAUUCCUAGUGUAGCGGUGAAAUGCGUAGAGAUUAGGAAGAACACCAGUGGCGAAGGCGACUCUCUGGACUGUAACUGACGCUGAGGCUCGAAAGCGUGGGGAGCAAA